RNAcentral lists this transfer RNA (73 nucleotides) under Deltaproteobacteria bacterium. RNAcentral describes it as "tRNA-Val". It matches the Rfam family "tRNA". Rfam says of the family: Transfer RNA (tRNA) molecules are approximately 80 nucleotides in length. Their secondary structure includes four short double-helical elements and three loops (D, anti-codon, and T loops). The record is from RNAcentral. Lineage: Bacteria; Pseudomonadati; Myxococcota; Myxococcia.
GGGCGAAUAGCUCAGCUGGUAGAGCACCUGCCUUACACGCAGGGAGUCACAGGUUCGANCCCUGUUUCGCCCA